Long non-coding RNA from Zingiber officinale, 959 nucleotides. RefSeq lists it as uncharacterized. The transcript is spliced from 4 exons. Lineage: Eukaryota; Viridiplantae; Streptophyta; Magnoliopsida; Zingiberales; Zingiberaceae. The record is from RefSeq and is a predicted model, not a curated record.
CCCGAGUUUCUCUCCCGACCUUCUCCUUCUCUUCACAUCGCGCCCGACUCUUGCCUCUUCUCCCGAUUCUUUCUCGUCGCUGGUUGCCAUCGCCGACUCCGGGAGCCACCGAUCAUCUUCUCCUCUUCGUUGGCACAGCCCCAUCGCCGAUUGCCAGUAAGAUCGCCCCAACCAGCCGGAUUCCCUCCUCCUCUCACGACUCUGCCCUAGGUCGCCGACUGCGCCUCCUCACGCCACCGCACGUCGACGCUAUUGCCGAUCUUGUGUUCCGAUUUCCCCUCUACCUCUCCUCUACCGACACAAGCCACUCGCGGGAUGAUUCCGGCGCCCCAAUCUAGUGCCAGACCUCUCCCUCUCGCACCUCUGCAGAUGCCGUGGGAGCCCGAUGCCGAGCCACAAUGCCAUCGACUUCGAUCAACCCACCACUGAUCAAAAGGGAGAGGAUCUGAACCCUAGAUUUGGUCCCUCAUUGCCUCAUACGCGUGCUGUGGUGUCGACCAAUGGAGCCUCUGUUCCAGCCGAGAUUGUGUUGCCAUCUACACUGUCAUCGGCCAUUUGUUUUAAGAAAUGCUUACUAGGCCAGUGAACCAUUGGAGAAGGGGUCAUUGACAUGGAACUAAGGGUUGAUAUCGGUAGAGCAAUGUUUGGCUGAGGGAUAUACAUCUGAUCGCUGUUUGCACAUCAGGGCCUUUUAUAUGGGCUGAUCAUCACAAUGGGGGAUUUAUUCUGGACACGAUCUACAUAUCAAGGUAGAUGGUUAGAGUGUCGCUCGGAGUAUCCUGUCUACCAGGUCCUAUGUCACAUCCGAAAAGCGUUUCGGGUUUCCGCUUAUGUUUUACUUGUAUUCGUUAUUUGGUGCAUUCGGUGUAUUUGGUGUAUUUGGUGUUGUUGUUGUAUUUGUGUUGUUGUGGUUAUUGUAUAAAGCAUAGCCGGCUAGUAGUGUCUUGAUGUGUUUUGUA